UCUGAUGAAAUGAUGAAAAGACAUAAUUAAAAGUUGGAUCUUGCCUAGAUGUAUAUGAUAUCACAUGUUAUUCAUCACUUUCAUGAAAAACAUAAACCUGCCAGUCCAUUGGCAUGUGUUUUGAUGUGUUUGAAUAAUAUGAUCAUUCUACUUUUUUUUUUUUGUAACACUAUCAUUCUACAUCUAUUAAUGAAAUCUUUUUUUUUACGUCUAUUAAUGAAAUCUAUUAAGAGGUAACAAAAAUUCAUAAUAAUAUGAUCGUUUAUUAUGUGGUAUAAUAUGAUCAUUUUAUUAGCCUCUCUAAUAAAAAAUUCUCUUAAGUGGUAAUCAACUAAUAUAUACUUCAGUAUUUCCUAUAAUAUUGCGGUACAAAAUAAUUAAGUUCGAUUUUUGAAUACUUCUUCCCUAUGUUUCAAGCUAGAAAUAAUGUCUGAC
Brassica rapa (field mustard) is the source of this 435-nucleotide long non-coding RNA. RefSeq lists it as uncharacterized. The record is from RefSeq and is a predicted model, not a curated record. NCBI's taxonomy places the organism in Eukaryota, Viridiplantae, Streptophyta, Magnoliopsida, Brassicales, Brassicaceae.